This 460-nucleotide ribosomal RNA is filed under the name uncultured bacterium. Its description in RNAcentral is "partial 16S ribosomal RNA". It matches the Rfam family "Bacterial small subunit ribosomal RNA", at positions 338 to 795 of the family's 1533-position model. The record is from RNAcentral.
CCUACGGGAGGCAGCAGUGAGGAAUAUUGGUCAAUGGACGCAAGUCUGAACCAGCCAUGCCGCGUGCAGGAAGACGGCUCUAUGAGUUGUAAACUGCUUUUGUACGAGGGUAAACGCAGAUACGCGUGUCUGUCUGAAAGUAUCUUACGAAUAAGGAUCGGCUAACUCCGUGCCAGCAGCCGCGGUAAUACGGAGGAUUCAAGCGUUAUCCGGAUUGAUUGGGUUUAAAGGGUGCGUAGGCGGUCGGAUAAGUUAGAGGUGAAAUCCCGAGGCUCAACUUCAGAAUUGCAUCUGAUACUGGUCGGCUAGAGAGUAGUUGCGGUAGGCGGAAUGUAUGGUGUAGCGGUGAAAUGCUUAGAGAUCAUACAGAACACCGAUUGCGAAGGCAGCUUACCAAGCUACUUCUGACGUUGAGGCACGAAAGCGUGGGGAGCAAACAGGAUUAGAUACCCGGGUAGUC